This is a non-coding RNA of Microcebus murinus (gray mouse lemur), 1249 nucleotides long. The record is from RefSeq and is a predicted model, not a curated record. Lineage: Eukaryota; Metazoa; Chordata; Mammalia; Primates; Cheirogaleidae.
AAAAUCAACAAUGAAUACAGAAAAUGAUUUUUUUUAAAUAGGCUAACAAGUUGCAUAAGCUACUGACUGAUAUCAAAAGAUAUCUGAUUGUGGUUGCUUUUUAAAAUUGAAACUAGGCUAAGAUGGCGGUGAUACGAGUUGCUCAUUGUGUGAGGAUCCAUCACGCUCAAAAUGCUGCAGCGCCUGCAGGCCGUCAAGAUCCGCCUCCGCUGGGAGCCUGACAAGACGGUGAAGGUGCUAAAGGAGAAGACAGAAGCUGAGAAGGGUCGUGAUGCUUUUCUCCAAACUGGACAGAAACUCAUCUAUGCUGGCAAGAUUCUGAGCGAGGAUGUCCCCAUUAGGGACUAACACAUCCAUGAGACCCACUCUGUGGUCGUCAUGGUGACCAAGGCCAAAGCUGGCCAGGGUACCUCAGCAGCCCCAGAGACCUCACCCACUGCUGCCCGGAAGUCCUCCACCUCCUUCCCGCCUGCCCCUGCCUCAGGCAUGUCCCGUCCCCCACCCACCGCCAGAGAGGACCAGAGCCCAUCAGAGGAAUCAGCCCCUAUCACAUCCCCAGAGUCCGUGUCAGGCUCUGCUCCCCCUUCUGGUAGCAGCGGGCGAGAGGAAGACCAGGCCUCCACGCUAGCGACUGGCUCUGAGUGCCAGACCGUGCUGACAGGAAGUGUGUCGCUGCGCUACGAGCGGGAGCGGGUCGUGGCCGGCCGCCCCGAGAGCCAGCUACAAAACCCACCGAGCCAUAGAGUACCUACUCACGGGAAUUCCUGGAAGCCCGGAGCCAGAACACGGUUCAGUCCAGGAGCGACAGUUGUCCAAGCAGCCGACCUCGGAGGCAGGAAACUACCCCCUGCGCGACCGACCAAUCCCAGUUCCAGAACAUGCUGCGGGUGAUUCGACAGAACCCUGCGCUGCUGCCCGCUCUGCUCCAGCAACUGGCCCGGGCGAACCCUCAGCUUUUGCAGCAUAUUAGCCAGCACCGGGAGCGGUUCACCCAGAUGCUGAACGAACCCGCUGGGGAGCUAGCAGAUAUCUCAAAUGUGGAGGGUGAGGUGGGCGCCGAAGUGGAGGAGGCCCCGCAGAUGAACUGCAGCCAGAUGACGCCUCAGGAGAAAGAAGCUACGGAAAGGUUGAAAGCUCUCGGCUUCCCAGAGUGCCUGGUGAUCCAGGCCUACCUCACGCGUGAAAAAAAAAAAAAAAACGAGAACUUGCUGCCGACUUCCUCUUGAGUCAGAACUUUGGUAACAAGUGA